AAUUAUUGCUUGUAAUUAUUGCCAUAAUGUUGAUUCAAAUUAUUACCAAAUAAAACAAAAUUUCAAAAAUAUUCUAAAGUGAUUAAUAUUAAUUGCUUAUGGACAUUUUUCCAAGGAACUCAUUCCAAUUCUCCCAUUUUAUUCACGUGCACCCCCUUUUUUUUUCUUCUUCCUUACUCCCUUUUGUUUUUCUUUUCGUUUUUUUUUUCUUUUUUUUUAAUUUUAAUUUUAAUUUUUUUUCUUUUACUUUUUGCUUUUCUUUUUUUCCUUUUCUUUUCUUUUUUUUCU
This 288-nucleotide long non-coding RNA is filed under the name Vigna radiata. RNAcentral's name for it is "long non-coding RNA (VRAD_LNC012909)". Lineage: Eukaryota; Viridiplantae; Streptophyta; Magnoliopsida; Fabales; Fabaceae. The record is from RNAcentral.